UAUAAGUUAUUAUAUAUAUAUUUUUCCUUUUUUUUUUUCACUAAUAACAGAAAUAAAUGCACAACUAGAGAAAGCAAAGACAGACUGUGAAAAACUUAAAACAGACAACGAAGAGAAAGAAAAAACUUUGCAAAAAUUAACGAUUGAUUUAGAUAAUAAAACUCAUUCCUACAAUUUAUUACAAAAAGAACAAAAUAUGAAUAACUUGAACACCGAAUUAAGCAAUGUAAAUCAAACAGAAGAAUUAAUCAGACUUCAAAAAGAAAAUGAAAAUUUGAGAAAUAGAAUAGAAUCUGAUACAAAUAAAGAAUCAAACAGGGUGAAAGAAGUUAGUCUAAUAACCUUAUUAUGCAUUCAAGUUGUAUACAAAUGCACACAUAUGUAUAUAUGUAUAGUACACCUAAGUUAGUGGAAAAAUUUAUUUUACACUUUUUCUACGUCACCGCAUUUUACCUUUUUUUUUGUUUUAGCUUGAAAAAGAACUCGAGGAUUUGAAAAUAAUAAAUAUCAAUUUAAAGAAUGGAGUAUUAAAAGA
RNAcentral lists this long non-coding RNA (535 nucleotides) under Piliocolobus tephrosceles (Ugandan red Colobus). RNAcentral describes it as "lncRNA (ENSPTEG00000006866.1)". The record is from RNAcentral. Lineage: Eukaryota; Metazoa; Chordata; Mammalia; Primates; Cercopithecidae.